GGAAAUGUGCCUGAAAGAUAAGGAUCUCCUUGAUAGGGAGGAUAAUAGAGGCUCAAACCCUCUCGUUUCCU
RNAcentral lists this transfer RNA (71 nucleotides) under Allobates granti. RNAcentral's name for it is "tRNA-Ile". It matches the Rfam family "tRNA". Rfam says of the family: Transfer RNA (tRNA) molecules are approximately 80 nucleotides in length. Their secondary structure includes four short double-helical elements and three loops (D, anti-codon, and T loops). The record is from RNAcentral. Lineage: Eukaryota; Metazoa; Chordata; Amphibia; Anura; Aromobatidae.